Stegodyphus dumicola is the source of this 891-nucleotide long non-coding RNA. Lineage: Eukaryota; Metazoa; Arthropoda; Arachnida; Araneae; Eresidae. The record is from RefSeq and is a predicted model, not a curated record.
AUAUUCCGAGAGACAACGCGGAUUUCAGGUCGGAGGAUUUUCGUUUCUGACAUGUGUGGAGUCAUGUGGCAGUUAAACACCACAUUUGAUGACCCGAGAAGAACAUUGCAACUAUGCACCACAUUUGUUGACCUAAGAAAAUUGCUGUAGAAGAAAUAGCCAGAGUGAGGUGCUCAAGGAAGCUGAGUAUUGAGAUUUUAUGACAGCAGUAUCUGCAUAAAGGAUUCUAUUGUGCACCUGCAAAUCAGGACUAUUCCAGUAAAACCCAGUGUGCCAGUGCAGAUAUUGGAUCUUCCCAGCUUGUCAUGUGUUUUGGAGUGUUGCCUUUCGUCUCAAAGGAUUGUGUUGCUUGGACUGCCAGAAUUCCAAAGUCCCACUGCAUACUCACAACCCAUUGCAGUUGUUUGCUGUACCCAUUCAACGUUUUGAACAAGUGCAUCUGGAUAUAGUCAGACCUUUACUGCCUUCAGAAGGAUACUUCUACUUUUUACCCUUAACAACAGAUUUUUCUGAUGGCCAGAAGCAAUACCUAUAUGGGAUAUUUUGGCAGAAACUGUCACUCAAGCAUUUGUUACCCACUGGAUUGCAUGAUUUGGAGUUCCUACUACUAUCAGUACCAAUCAAGGCCGGCAGUUUGAGUCUCAUAUGUUCACUACUCUCAAUAAAAUUCUUGGUGUUUAUCAAAUUUGGACUUCCCCAUACCACCCUGCAGCUAAUGGAUUACUUGAGAGAUUCCAUUGUUCACUAAAACAAGAAUUAAUGUACCAUAAUAAAGUCCAAUAGACAGUGAGCCUUCCAAUUGUACUCCUUGGUCUCUGAGCAACAUACAAAGAAGAUUUGGGGCUCAGAAAUGGUUUAUGGAACAAUUAUUCUUCUAGACUAGAAGAGACA